This is a long non-coding RNA of Talpa occidentalis (Iberian mole), 646 nucleotides long. RefSeq lists it as uncharacterized. The transcript is spliced from 4 exons. Lineage: Eukaryota; Metazoa; Chordata; Mammalia; Eulipotyphla; Talpidae. The record is from RefSeq and is a predicted model, not a curated record.
GGUAGAGCUGAGCAGGGAGGAGAAGAAGCUGGAAAGGAGACUGGAGAAGGAAGGAAGCUGGAUAGAGAGCAAGAAGGAGACCUGGAGGAGGCACGUGGAGCAGAGAGACAUGAGAAGAAGCAGAGUUUGCUUCCUGGACCUGGACUGUUAAAAACAGAUGCAGAUUGUACUUUCCAGAAAUGCAGGAUCUGAACUUUUGCAACUGCUGUACCUUUCUCCAGUUAUUUGAAACUCACUAGAGAAAAAAACAUGAUGACUAUUUGACACUUCCACUAUUGAAGAAGGCAGAUGUUUCAUUGAAAAUCUGCAGACCCAGCAAUGAUCCAGAACUCACCUCCUCUAUAAUAGUGAGUUUUUAAAUCUCCAAAUCAACACAUCCCGAAACAAAUUAUAUUUUGUUUAUAUUCUGGUGAAAAAGAGCAAGCUGUCAUAGAAAAACUGAGAUUCACCAAACAUGACCAGGAGGGAUGUAAAGGAAGACCAAACACAGAGUGGAAUAUAUUCAAGAGAGCAGAAGACUCCUCAUGAACACAUACAGUCUUUUGCCAGCAAGGGAAAAUUCCCUGAAACCAGAGUCCUCACCCACUGUCUUCUCCAUUAAGGACCAACAUUAAACAGCAACCAACAUGUUAUCUAACAAUUUGCU